UACGUAGGUGGCAAGCGUUAUCCGGAAUUAUUGAGCGUAAAGAGCGCGCAGGUGGUUAAUUAAGUCUGAUGUGAAAGCCCACGGCUUAACCGUGGAGGGUCAUUGGAAACUGGUUGACUUGAGUGCAGAAGAGGGAAGUGGAAUUCCAUGUGUAGCGGUGAAAUGCGUAGAGAUAUGGAGGAACACCAGUGGCGAAGGCGGCUUCCUGGUCUGCAACUGACACUGAGGCGCGAAAGCGUGGGGAGCAAACAGG
This 253-nucleotide ribosomal RNA is filed under the name uncultured bacterium. RNAcentral describes it as "partial 16S ribosomal RNA". It matches the Rfam family "Bacterial small subunit ribosomal RNA", at positions 524 to 776 of the family's 1533-position model. The record is from RNAcentral.